CCCAGCUUGCUGGGCUGGGAAACUGGGUCUAAUACCGGAUAGGAGCGCCUACCGCAUGGUGGGUGUUGGGAAAGAUUUAUCGGUUUUGGAUGGACUCGCGGCCUAUCAGCUUGUUGGUGAGGUGAUGGCUCACCAAGGCGACGACGGGUAGCCGGCCUGAGAGGGUGACCGGCCACAUUGGGACUGAGACACGGCCCAGACUCCUACGGGAGGCAGCAGUGGGGAAUAUUGCACAAUGGGCGCAAGCCUGAUGCAGCGACGCCGCGUGAGGGAUGACGGCCUUCGGGUUGUAAACCUCUUUCAGUAGGGAAGAAGCGAAAGUGACGGUACCUGCAGAAGAAGCACCGGCUAACUACGUGCCAGCAGCCGCGGUAAUACGUAGGGUGCGAGCGUUAUCCGGAAUUAUUGGGCGUAAAGAGCUCGUAGGCGGUUUGUCGCGUCUGUCGUGAAAGUCCGGGGCUUAACCCCGGAUCUGCGGUGGGUACGGGCAGACUAGAGUGCAGUAGGGGAGACUGGAAUUCCUGGUGUAGCGGUGGAAUGCGCAGAUAUCAGGAGGAACACCGAUGGCGAAGGCAGGUCUCUGGGCUGUAACUGACGCUGAGGAGCGAAAGCAUGGGGAGCGAACAGGAUUAGAUACCCUGGUAGUCCAUGCCGUAAACGUUGGGCACUAGGUGUGGGGACCAUUCCACGGUUUCCGCGCCGCAGCUAACGCAUUAA
RNAcentral lists this ribosomal RNA (717 nucleotides) under bacterium. RNAcentral describes it as "bacterial SSU rRNA". It matches the Rfam family "Bacterial small subunit ribosomal RNA", at positions 129 to 863 of the family's 1533-position model. The record is from RNAcentral.